This is a non-coding RNA of Hipposideros armiger (great roundleaf bat), 587 nucleotides long. The record is from the annotation of a RefSeq genome assembly. NCBI's taxonomy places the organism in Eukaryota, Metazoa, Chordata, Mammalia, Chiroptera, Hipposideridae.
AGUCAGAGGCCAGUGCUGCCUUGUGAUAGGAAGAAAGAUGUCCCUGAAAUUCUUGAUAUUGAUCUUUUGGAUUCAACUGGCAUGGAAAAGCACCCAGCAGCUGGAGCAGAGUCCUCGGUUUGUAAGCAUCCAGGAGGGAGAAGAUGUCACUGUGUACUGUAAAUCCUCAAGCGUUUUUUCCACCUUUCAAUGGUACAGACAGGAGCCGGGAAAAGGUCCUGUCCUCUUAAUGAUAUUAACUAAGGGUGGAGACGUGAAAGUGCAGAAGAGACUAACAGCUCGGCUUGGUGAAGCUAGAAAGGACAGCUCCCUGCUCAUCACUGCAGCCCAGCCUGGGGAUGUGGGCACCUACCUCUGUGCAGGGGACACAGUGCUUUGGGGACACCUGCUGCCUUCACACAAACCCUCUGCUGCAGGCCCCAGUCACACUGCUGUGGCAUUCCUCCAGAUCUUCCUCACAUCCUUCUUGGCAGGAACAAUGAUAAUGACCUCACCCCUUCACAGAACCACAUCUGCUGCCUUUCCAGAACAUUUCCCACAAGCACUGGAGGAAAAGAUUCCUCUGCUCUAAGACACACUUUGGAAAU